CCUACGGGAGGCAGCAGUGAGGAAUAUUGGUCAAUGGGCGCAAGCCUGACCCAGCGACGUCGCGUGAGGGGAGACGGUCCUAUGGAUUGUAAACCUCUUUUGUCGGGGAGCAAAAAACUCCACGCGUGGCGUUCCGAGAUUACCCGAAGAAAAAGCAUCGACUACCUCCGUGCCAGCAGCGGCGGUACUACGAAGGAUGCGAUCGUUAUCCGGAUUUAUUGGGUGAAAGGGGUACGCGGGCGUAAGAUCAAGUCAGCGGGAAAGGUGAGAGGCUCAACCUGUUCGAGCCGUUGAAACUGGUUUUCUGGAGUGUGCGAGAAGUAUGCGGAAUGCGUGGUGUAGCGGUGAAAUGCAUAGAUAUCACGAAGAACUCCGAUGGCGAAGGCAGCAGACUGGCGCUAAACUGACGCUCAGGUACGAAAGUGUGGGUAGCGAACAGGAUUAGAUACCCUUGUAGUC
Molecule: ribosomal RNA, 459 nt
Filed under: uncultured bacterium
Lineage: Bacteria
Description: partial 16S ribosomal RNA
Rfam family: Bacterial small subunit ribosomal RNA
Source: RNAcentral